GAUGAACGCUGGCGGCGUGCCUAAUACAUGCAAGUCGAGCGAACAGACGAGGAGCUUGCUCCUCUGACGUUAGCGGCGGACGGGUGAGUAACACGUGGAUAACCUACCUAUAAGACUGGGAUAACUUCGGGAAACCGGAGCUAAUACCGGAUAAUAUAUUGAACCGCAUGGUUCAAUAGUGAAAGACGGUUUUGCUGUCACUUAUAGAUGGAUCCGCGCCGCAUUAGCUAGUUGGUAAGGUAACGGCUUACCAAGGCAACGAUGCGUAGCCGACCUGAGAGGGUGAUCGGCCACACUGGAACUGAGACACGGUCCAGACUCCUACGGGAGGCAGCAGUAGGGAAUCUUCCGCGAUGGGCGAAAGCCUGACGGAGCAACGCCGCGUGAGUGAUGAAGGUCUUCGGAUCGUAAAACUCUGUUAUGGGAAGAACAAAUGUGUAAGUAACUAUGCACGUCUUGACGGUACCUAAUCAGAAAGCCACGGCUAACUACGUG
RNAcentral lists this ribosomal RNA (495 nucleotides) under uncultured bacterium. Its description in RNAcentral is "partial 16S ribosomal RNA". It matches the Rfam family "Bacterial small subunit ribosomal RNA", at positions 28 to 507 of the family's 1533-position model. The record is from RNAcentral.